This 191-nucleotide ribosomal RNA is filed under the name Rubrivivax sp. RNAcentral describes it as "partial 23S ribosomal RNA". It matches the Rfam family "Bacterial large subunit ribosomal RNA", at positions 2739 to 2925 of the family's 2925-position model. The record is from RNAcentral. Lineage: Bacteria; Pseudomonadati; Pseudomonadota; Betaproteobacteria; Burkholderiales; Sphaerotilaceae.
AGCCGAGUAGCUAAGUGCGGAAGAGAUAACCGCUGAAAGCAUCUAAGCGGGAAACUCGUCUCAAGAUGAGUCUUGCCGGGGCCUUGAGCCCCCUGAAGAGUCGUUCGAGACCAGGACGUUGAUAGGCCGGGUGUGGAAGCGCGGUAACGCGUUAAGCUGACCGGUACUAAUUGCUCGUGAGGCUUGACCCU